This 223-nucleotide ribosomal RNA is filed under the name Pseudo-nitzschia fraudulenta. Its description in RNAcentral is "partial Bacterial large subunit ribosomal RNA". It matches the Rfam family "Bacterial large subunit ribosomal RNA", at positions 2221 to 2443 of the family's 2925-position model. Lineage: Eukaryota; Bacillariophyta; Bacillariophyceae; Bacillariales; Bacillariaceae. The record is from RNAcentral.
UCUAACUGUGGGCCCUGAUCGGGUUUUGGGACAGUGCCUGGUGGGUAGUUUAACUGGGGCGGUUGCCUCCUAAAUGGUAACGGAGGCGCCCAAAGGUUCCCUCAGAAUGGUUGGAAAUCAUUCAUAGAGUGUAAAGGCAUAAGGGAGCUUGACUGCGAGACCUACAAGUCGAGCAGGCACGAAAGUGGGGCUUAGUGAUCCGGUGGUUCUGUAUGGAAGGGCC